RNAcentral lists this ribosomal RNA (254 nucleotides) under uncultured bacterium. RNAcentral describes it as "partial 16S ribosomal RNA". It matches the Rfam family "Bacterial small subunit ribosomal RNA", at positions 524 to 776 of the family's 1533-position model. The record is from RNAcentral.
GACGAACCGUGCGAACGUUAUUCGGAAUCACUGGGCUUAAAGCGCGUGUAGGCGGGAGGGCACGUCCGUCGCUGAAAUCCCCCGGCUCAACCGGGGAACGGGCGCGGAUACGACCUUCCUGGAGGGGCGUAGGGGGACCUGGAACUUCCGGUGGAGCGGUGAAAUGCGUUGAGAUCGGAAGGAACGCCCGCGGCGAAAGCGAGGUCCUGGACGUCUUCUGACGCUGAGACGCGAAAGCCAGGGGAGCGAACGGG